GAUGAACGCUGGCGGCGUGCCUAAUACAUGCAAGUCGAGCGAACGGACGAGAAGCUUGCUUCUCUGAUGUUAGCGGCGGACGGGUGAGUAACACGUGGAUAACCUACCUAUAAGACUGGGAUAACUUCGGGAAACCGGAGCUAAUACCGGAUAAUAUUUUGAACCGCAUGGUUCAAAAGUAAAAGACGGUCUUGCUGUCACUUAUAGAUGGAUCCGCGCUGCAUUAGCUAUUUGGUAAGGUAACGGCUUACCAAGGCAACGAUGCAUAGCCGACCUGAGAGGGUGAUCGGCCACACUGGAACUGAGACACGGUCCAGACUCCUACGGGAGGCAGCGGUAGGGAAUCUUCCGCAAUGGGCGAAAGCCUGACGGAGCAACGCCGCGUGAGUGAUGAAGGUCUUCGGAUCGUAAAACUCUGUUAUUAGGGAAGAACAUAUGUGUAAGUAACUGUGCACAUCUUGACGGUACCUAAUCAGAAAGCCACGGCUAACUACGUG
RNAcentral lists this ribosomal RNA (497 nucleotides) under uncultured bacterium. Its description in RNAcentral is "partial 16S ribosomal RNA". It matches the Rfam family "Bacterial small subunit ribosomal RNA", at positions 28 to 507 of the family's 1533-position model. The record is from RNAcentral.